CAAAAGCUCCCGCGUGGGGUUCUCGUCGCGGCCCCACGCGCCUGCGUGGCCAGCCCACCACCCUAAGCUAGCCCGGCCCCUUUCUCCACCCAGAUCCUCCCCGCAGACUCCUCCCUGUCUACCCCCACUGGCUGGAGGCUCCGCCCACUCUUCUAGCUGCUCCAGCCUCGUCCUCUGGCCCCAGUCUCUUCUUCAUCUUCCUUCACCUUCUUUUUGACUCUGGAAAGCCUCCCCCAAACCCCAGGACAAAGAUGACUUUUGGAAGAUUGCCCAAAACGAUAGCUAGAGUGCGCCCUGGGCUCUGGGAGAUGGAGGAGAGAGGCGACAGGAGGAGUCAAUGGUUUGCCCAGUGCUGCGGGGAGGCGCUUUGCACGCUCUAGAUCGCAAGCCAAGCGUCUAGUGCCAAGAGCUGUCAGGCAAAAGACUGGUCAGCUGGAGAGACUUCUCGGGACGCGGAGAGGUAGAACAGGUUUGCAGAGCGCUGGCAGCCUCGGUUGACACUAAGGAUCUAUUGCCCCGCGCGCGCGCGAUGCGUGAGCUGAAUUGGGGUGGAAGGGCCUGUUGAAGAGCCAGGGAAGCAGCGUUUAGGAGAGAGUUUUCCGAGGCCACGCCGUGACGGUCGACAUUAAUAUUAGUGGAAAGACGCGUGCCCCGCAGUAAGAUCAUGAGAAGGGAUCCAGGAAAUGAAAGAGGAGAGGCAAGAAGAUUUUACAACUUCAAAAGUAUUUAAAACUUAGCCUGCAAAAUAAAAACAUCUUCAUAAAAGUUAUGAAGACCCGUUUCUAAAGUAUACAAGCUAAAGAACUGAUUAUGUACCACAAAAGCUGUGAAGCCGAGAUCUUAAUUUUCUUAGCACCGGGUUGCAGCCCUUGGGUUGAAGAGAGCAAACGCCACUAAUAUGGAAACAUAAACCAGAGAGAGAUGCAUUCCUUUGCCUACCACCAGAUGCUCCAAUGGAAGCAUCAUUUGCAGGGAGGAUGCUUGGAAUUACGUCUGAGAUCAAGAAGCAGAUGGAAAGCACCCGUGUGCUCCAUGUCCCGCUGACUGCUUUUAAUACAAUCCAUCAGGAGCUGAUGCAGUCAGAUGAGUCCCCACCAGAGACUGAACCACGCUUCGGACACUCAGCAUCCAAAAGUGGGAAGAGCUUCAUUAAAUCCCCUUUUCUCUGUCUCAGCCUGUCUCUCUCUUUCCACUCUCACACGCAGACUCUAUUUCCCUCCAGUUGUUUACCAUAGUAAUGAAAACUAACUCAUCCAGGUGUCUGUCGUGCUUACUAAAAUGAAAUGCAGCAUAGCAUGCAUAGCAUGGUUGCUGCAGACAAGUCACUAAUCAUGCUCUUCCAAGCUUCUCCAAUUUGCCAGUCUGACUAUCAUGAUGGGAGCAUAGAACUUUAUGAGUGCCCAAACCAUUGAAUCAAGUGCUGAAAGACCAAAGCAGUGAAAUGCAUGGCUAGCUUCUUAGCUAGAUGGAAGGGGAAAUGGAAAAUUACCAAAAAAAAAAAAAAAAAAAAAACCCUCACAAGAUAGCAUCUCCCAAUUAUUUACAUACAUCUCUCUGAGGACUUAACCCACUGCUUUCUCUGCUCUAUUUUUAUGUUUCCGUUAAUAUACUAAUUUGAUUCUUACUAGGAGUCAGCUCAAUAUCAUUCAUCUCUCCUAAGAUUUGAGAAAAAUAGAGGCCAGACAAGGAAAUUAAACCAGUGUAGCACAGACUUGAAAUUGUUUCGGUUUACCAUUUUCCAAGGAACUGGUGUUCACAUGAAAAGAUUGUUCUACAAACCAGUGCUUCUGAGUUACCAUCCCAGGUGCCACAAAGACCUUGAUGGAGUUGCACAACCUCUAACUUCGCUUGUUCGGAAGUAAAGCUACAGAGUAAAGCUGACAGAGGGUUUCAGACGUUAAAUGAGAUGAUGAAUGACUCGCUAUUUUGUGAAACUGGAAUCACUUUGUAAAUAAGCCUGAUGGCCUCUCCAUGCUUGGCUUCACAAAUCACACAUCCGAGGUAGGUAUUAUUUGUUGGUCAUUACUUAAGUAAAUGAGGUGCUUAAAUUACCCUUGGAAAAUUAGCAGAAGAGAGUCUCUGGUCAGAAGAGUGAGGAUCUGAGUCCAAGUGAAAAAGAAGUUCGAGAAGUGGUUCAGGUUAUCAGAAUAGUAGUUGGAAAGGAAC
RNAcentral lists this long non-coding RNA (2166 nucleotides) under Mus spicilegus (steppe mouse). RNAcentral describes it as "lncRNA (ENSMSIG00000031797.1)". The record is from RNAcentral. Lineage: Eukaryota; Metazoa; Chordata; Mammalia; Rodentia; Muridae.